UUGUCUCUCUUGAGUGGAUCCUGAGUACGACGGAGCACGUGAAAUUCCGUCGGAAUCUGGGAGGACCAUCUCCUAAGGCUAAAUACUCUCUAGUGACCGAUAGUGAACCAGUACCGUGAGGGAAAGGUGAAAAGCACCCCGGAAGGGGAGUGAAAUAGAACCUGAAACCGUGUGCUUACAAGUAGUCAGAGCCCGUUAAUGGGUGAUGGCGUGCCUUUUGUAGAAUGAACCGGCGAGUUACGAUUUGAUGCAAGGUUAAGCAGUAAAUGUGGAGCCGUAGCGAAAGCGAGUCUGAAUAGGGCGUUUAGUAUUUGGUCGUAGACCCGAAACCAGGUGAUCUACCCUUGGUCAGGUUGAAGUUCAGGUAACACUGAAUGGAGGACCGAACCGACUUACGUUGAAAAGUGAGCGGAUGAACUGAGGGUAGCGGAGAAAUUCCAAUCGAACCUGGAGAUAGCUGGUUCUCUCCGAAAUAGCUUUAGGGCUAGCCUCAAGUGAUGAUUAUUGGAGGUAGAGCACUGUUUGGACGAGGGGCCCCUCUCGGGUUACCGAAUUCAGACAAACUCCGAAUGCCAAUUAAUUUAACUUGGGAGUCAGAACAUGGGUGAUAAGGUCCGUGUUCGAAAGGGAAACAGCCCAGACCACCAGCUAAGGUCCCAAAAUAUAUGUUAAGUGGAAAAGGAUGUGGCGUUGCCCAGACAACUAGGAUGUUGGCUUAGAAGCAGCCAUCAUUUAAAGAGUGCGUAAUAGCUCACUAGUCGAGUGACACUGCGCCGAAAAUGUACCGGGGCUAAACAUAUUACCGAAGCUGUGGAUUGUCCUUUGGACAAUGGUAGGAGAGCGUUCUAAGGGCGUUGAAGCAUGAUCGUAAGGACAUGUGGAGCGCUUAGAAGUGAGAAUGCCGGUGUGAGUAGCGAAAGACGGGUGAGAAUCCCGUCCACCGAUUGACUAAGGUUUCCAGAGGAAGGCUCGUCCGCUCUGGGUUAGUCGGGUCCUAAGCUGAGGCCGACAGGCGUAGGCGAUGGAUAACAGGUUGAUAUUCCUGUACCACCUAUAAUCGUUUUAAUCGAUGGGGGGACGCAGUAGGAUAGGCGAAGCGUGCGAUUGGAUUGCACGUCUAAGCAGUAAGGCUGGGUAUUAGGCAAAUCCGGUACUCGUUAAGGCUGAGCUGUGAUGGGGAGAAGACAUUGUGUCUUCGAGUCGUUGAUUUCACACUGCCGAGAAAAGCCUCUAGAUAGAAAAUAGGUGCCCGUACCGCAAACCGACACAGGUAGUCAAGAUGAGAAUUCUAAGGUGAGCGAGCGAACUCUCGUUAAGGAACUCGGCAAAAUGACCCCGUAACUUCGGGAGAAGGGGUGCUCUUUAGGGUUAACGCCCAGAAGAGCCGCAGUGAAUAGGCCCAAGCGACUGUUUAUCAAAAACACAGGUCUCUGCUAAACCGUAAGGUGAUGUAUAGGGGCUGACGCCUGCCCGGUGCUGGAAGGUUAAGAGGAGUGGUUAGCUUCUGCGAAGCUACGAAUCGAAGCCCCAGUAAACGGCGGCCGUAACUAUAACGGUCCUAAGGUAGCGAAAUUCCUUGUCGGGUAAGUUCCGACCCGCACGAAAGGCGUAACGAUUUGGGCACUGUCUCAACGAGAGACUCGGUGAAAUCAUAGUACCUGUGAAGAUGCAGGUUACCCGCGACAGGACGGAAAGACCCCGUGGAGCUUUACUGUAGCCUGAUAUUGAAAUUCGGCACAGCUUGUACAGGAUAGGUAGGAGCCUUUGAAACGUGAGCGCUAGCUUACGUGGAGGCGCUGGUGGGAUACUACCCUAGCUGUGUUGGCUUUCUAACCCGCACCACUUAUCGUGGUGGGAGACAGUGUCAGGCGGGCAGUUUGACUGGGGCGGUCGCCUCCUAAAAGGUAACGGAGGCGCUCAAAGGUUCCCUCAGAAUGGUUGGAAAUCAUUCAUAGAGUGUAAAGGCAUAAGGGAGCUUGACUGCGAGACCUACAAGUCGAGCAGGGUCGAAAGACGGACUUAGUGAUCCGGUGGUUCCGCAUGGAAGGGCCAUCGCUCAACGGAUAAAAGCUACCCCGGGGAUAACAGGCUUAUCUCCCCCAAGAGUUCACAUCGACGGGGAGGUUUGGCACCUCGAUGUCGGCUCAUCGCAUCCUGGGGCUGUAGUCGGUCCCAAGGGUUGGGCUGUUCGCCCAUUAAAGCGGUACGCGAGCUGGGUUCAGAACGUCGUGAGACAGUUCGGUCCCUAUCCGUCGUGGGCGUAGGAAAUUUGAGAGGAGCUGUCCUUAGUACGAGAGGACCGGGAUGGACAUACCUCUGGUGUACCAGUUGUCGUGCCAACGGCAUAGCUGGGUAGCUAUGUGUGGACGGGAUAAGUGCUGAAAGCAUCUAAGCAUGAAGCCCCCCUCAAGAUGAGAUUUCCCAACUUCGGUUAUAAGAUCCCUCAAAGAUGAUGAGGUUAAUAGGUUCGAGGUGGAAGCAUGGUGACAUGUGGAGCUGACGAAUACUAAUCGAUCGAAGACUUAAUCAA
This 2530-nucleotide ribosomal RNA is filed under the name Staphylococcus aureus. RNAcentral describes it as "partial 23S ribosomal RNA". It matches the Rfam family "Bacterial large subunit ribosomal RNA", at positions 388 to 2925 of the family's 2925-position model. Lineage: Bacteria; Bacillati; Bacillota; Bacilli; Caryophanales; Staphylococcaceae. The record is from RNAcentral.